GGUUAAGCGACUAAGCGUACACGGUGGAUGCCCUGGCAGUCAGAGGCGAUGAAGGACGUGCUAAUCUGCGAUAAGCGUCGGUAAGGUGAUAUGAACCGUUAUAGCCGGCGAUUUCCGAAUGGGGAAACCCAGUGUGUUUCGACACACUAUCAUUACGUGAAUACAUAGCGUAAUGAAGCGAACCGGGGAACUGAAACAUCUAAGUACCCCGAGGAAAAGAAAUCAACCGAGAUUCCCCCAGUAGCGGCGAGCGAACGGGGAGCAGCCCAGAGUCUGAAUCAGCUUGUGUGUUAGUGGAACGGUCUGGAAAGUCCGACGGUACAGGGUGAUAGUCCCGUACACCAAAAUGCACAGGUUGUGAACUCGAAGAGUAGGGCGGGACACGUGGUAUCCUGUCUGAAUAUGGGGGGACCAUCCUCCAAGGCUAAAUACUCCUGACUGACCGAUAGUGAACCAGUACCGUGAGGGAAAGGCGAAAAGAACCCCGGCGAGGGGAGUGAAAAAGAACCUGAAACCGUGUACGUACAAGCAGUGGGAGCCUCUUUAUGGGGUGACUGCGUACCUUUUGUAUAAUGGGUCAGCGACUUAUAUUCUGUAGCAAGGUUAACCGUAUAGGGGAGCCGAAGGGAAACCGAGUCUUAACUGGGCGUUAAGUUGCAGGGUAUAGACCCGAAACCCGGUGAUCUAGCCAUGGGCAGGUUGAAGGUUGGGUAACACUAACUGGAGGACCGAACCGACUAAUGUUGAAAAAUUAGCGGAUGACUUGUGGCUGGGGGUGAAAGGCCAAUCAAACCGGGAGAUAGCUGGUUCUCCCCGAAAGCUAUUUAGGUAGCGCCUCGUGAACUCAUCUUCGGGGGUAGAGCACUGUUUCGGCUAGGGGUCAUCCCGACUUACCAACCCGAUGCAAACUGCGAAUACCGAAGAAUGUUAUCACGGGAGACACACGGCGGGUGCUAACGUCCGUCGUGAAGAGGGAAACAACCCAGACCGCCAGCUAAGGUCCCAAAGUCAUGGUUAAGUGGGAAACGAUGUGGGAAGGCACAGACAGCCAGGAUGUUGGCUUAGAAGCAGCCAUCAUUUAAAGAAAGCGUAAUAGCUCACUGGUCGAGUCGGCCUGCGCGGAAGAUGUAACGGGGCUAAACCAUGCACCGAAGCUGCGGCAGCGACAUUAUGUGUUGUUGGGUAGGGGAGCGUUCUGUAAGCCGUUGAAGGUGUAUCGUGAGGUAUGCUGGAGGUAUCAGAAGUGCGAAUGCUGACAUAAGUAACGAUAAUGCGGGUGAAAAACCCGCACGCCGGAAGACCAAGGGUUCCUGUCCAACGUUAAUCGGGGCAGGGUGAGUCGACCCCUAAGGCGAGGCCGAAAGGCGUAGUCGAUGGGAAACAGGUUAAUAUUCCUGUACUUGGUGUUACUGCGAAGGGGGACGGAGAAGGCUAUGUUAGCCGGGCGACGGUUGUCCCGGUUUAAGCAUGUAGGCGGAGGUUCCAGGUAAAUCCGGUACCUUUUUAACGCUGAGGUGUGAUGACGAGGCACUACGGUGCUGAAGUAACAAAUGCCCUGCUUCCAGGAAAAGCCUCUAAGCAUCAGGUAACACGAAAUCGUACCCCAAACCGACACAGGUGGUCAGGUAGAGAAUACCAAGGCGCUUGAGAGAACUCGGGUGAAGGAACUAGGCAAAAUGGUGCCGUAACUUCGGGAGAAGGCACGCUGAUAUGUAGGUGAAGUGAUUUACUCAUGGAGCUGAAAUCAGUCGAAGAUACCAGCUGGCUGCAACUGUUUAUUAAAAACACAGCACUGUGCAAACACGAAAGUGGACGUAUACGGUGUGACGCCUGCCCGGUGCCGGAAGGUUAAUUGAUGGGGUUAUCCGUAAGGAGAAGCUCUUGAUCGAAGCCCCGGUAAACGGCGGCCGUAACUAUAACGGUCCUAAGGUAGCGAAAUUCCUUGUCGGGUAAGUUCCGACCUGCACGAAUGGCGUAAUGAUGGCCAGGCUGUCUCCACCCGAGACUCAGUGAAAUUGAACUCGCUGUGAAGAUGCAGUGUACCCGCGGCAAGACGGAAAGACCCCGUGAACCUUUACUAUAGCUUGACACUGAACACUGGUCCUUGAUGUGUAGGAUAGGUGGGAGGCUUUGAAGUGUGGACGCCAGUCUGCAUGGAGCCAUCCUUGAAAUACCACCCUUUAAUGGCUGGUGUUCUAACGUGGACCCGUUACCCGGGUUGCGGACAGUGUCUGGUGGGUAGUUUGACUGGGGCGGUCUCCUCCUAAAGAGUAACGGAGGAGCACGAAGGUUAGCUAAUCCUGGUCGGACAUCAGGAGGUUAGUGCAAAGGCAUAAGCUAGCUUGACUGCGAGAGUGACGGCUCGAGCAGGUGCGAAAGCAGGUCUUAGUGAUCCGGUGGUUCUGAAUGGAAGGGCCAUCGCUCAACGGAUAAAAGGUACUCCGGGGAUAACAGGCUGAUACCGCCCAAGAGUUCAUAUCGACGGCGGUGUUUGGCACCUCGAUGUCGGCUCAUCACAUCCUGGGGCUGAAGUAGGUCCCAAGGGUAUGGCUGUUCGCCAUUUAAAGUGGUACGCGAGCUGGGUUUAGAACGUCGUGAGACAGUUCGGUCCCUAUCUGCCGUGGGCGCUGGAGAAUUGAGGGGGCUGCUCCUAGUACGAGAGGACCGGAGUGGACGCAUCACUGGUGUUCGGGUUGUCAUGCCAAUGGCAUUGCCCGGUAGCUAAAUGCGGAAGAGAUAAGUGCUGAAAGCAUCUAAGCACGAAACUUGCCCCGAGAUGAGUUCUCCCUGAGACUAUAAGUCUCCUGAAGGAACGUUGAAGACGACGACGUUGAUAGGUCGGGUGUGUAAGUGUAGCGAUACAUUGAGCUAACCGAUACUAAUGAACCGUGAGGCUUAACCUU
RNAcentral lists this ribosomal RNA (2903 nucleotides) under Citrobacter freundii. Its description in RNAcentral is "23S ribosomal RNA". It matches the Rfam family "Bacterial large subunit ribosomal RNA". Lineage: Bacteria; Pseudomonadati; Pseudomonadota; Gammaproteobacteria; Enterobacterales; Enterobacteriaceae. The record is from RNAcentral.